RNAcentral lists this ribosomal RNA (2903 nucleotides) under Escherichia coli. RNAcentral's name for it is "23S ribosomal RNA". It matches the Rfam family "Bacterial large subunit ribosomal RNA". The record is from RNAcentral. Lineage: Bacteria; Pseudomonadati; Pseudomonadota; Gammaproteobacteria; Enterobacterales; Enterobacteriaceae.
GGUUAAGCGACUAAGCGUACACGGUGGAUGCCCUGGCAGUCAGAGGCGAUGAAGGACGUGCUAAUCUGCGAUAAGCGUCGGUAAGGUGAUAUGAACCGUUAUAACCGGCGAUUUCCGAAUGGGGAAACCCAGUGUGAUUCGUCACACUAUCAUUAACUGAAUCCAUAGGUUAAUGAGGCGAACCGGGGGAACUGAAACAUCUAAGUACCCCGAGGAAAAGAAAUCAACCGAGAUUCCCCCAGUAGCGGCGAGCGAACGGGGAGGAGCCCAGAGCCUGAAUCAGUGUGUGUGUUAGUGGAAGCGUCUGGAAAGGCGCGCGAUACAGGGUGACAGCCCCGUACACAAAAAUGCACAUGCUGUGAGCUCGAUGAGUAGGGCGGGACACGUGGUAUCCUGUCUGAAUAUGGGGGGACCAUCCUCCAAGGCUAAAUACUCCUGACUGACCGAUAGUGAACCAGUACCGUGAGGGAAAGGCGAAAAGAACCCCGGCGAGGGGAGUGAAAAAGAACCUGAAACCGUGUACGUACAAGCAGUGGGAGCACGCUUAGGCGUGUGACUGCGUACCUUUUGUAUAAUGGGUCAGCGACUUAUAUUCUGUAGCAAGGUUAACCGAAUAGGGGAGCCGAAGGGAAACCGAGUCUUAACUGGGCGUUAAGUUGCAGGGUAUAGACCCGAAACCCGGUGAUCUAGCCAUGGGCAGGUUGAAGGUUGGGUAACACUAACUGGAGGACCGAACCGACUAAUGUUGAAAAAUUAGCGGAUGACUUGUGGCUGGGGGUGAAAGGCCAAUCAAACCGGGAGAUAGCUGGUUCUCCCCGAAAGCUAUUUAGGUAGCGCCUCGUGAAUUCAUCUCCGGGGGUAGAGCACUGUUUCGGCAAGGGGGUCAUCCCGACUUACCAACCCGAUGCAAACUGCGAAUACCGGAGAAUGUUAUCACGGGAGACACACGGCGGGUGCUAACGUCCGUCGUGAAGAGGGAAACAACCCAGACCGCCAGCUAAGGUCCCAAAGUCAUGGUUAAGUGGGAAACGAUGUGGGAAGGCCCAGACAGCCAGGAUGUUGGCUUAGAAGCAGCCAUCAUUUAAAGAAAGCGUAAUAGCUCACUGGUCGAGUCGGCCUGCGCGGAAGAUGUAACGGGGCUAAACCAUGCACCGAAGCUGCGGCAGCGACACUAUGUGUUGUUGGGUAGGGGAGCGUUCUGUAAGCCUGUGAAGGUGUACUGUGAGGUAUGCUGGAGGUAUCAGAAGUGCGAAUGCUGACAUAAGUAACGAUAAAGCGGGUGAAAAGCCCGCUCGCCGGAAGACCAAGGGUUCCUGUCCAACGUUAAUCGGGGCAGGGUGAGUCGACCCCUAAGGCGAGGCCGAAAGGCGUAGUCGAUGGGAAACAGGUUAAUAUUCCUGUACUUGGUGUUACUGCGAAGGGGGGACGGAGAAGGCUAUGUUGGCCGGGCGACGGUUGUCCCGGUUUAAGCGUGUAGGCUGGUUUUCCAGGCAAAUCCGGAAAAUCAAGGCUGAGGCGUGAUGACGAGGCACUACGGUGCUGAAGCAACAAAUGCCCUGCUUCCAGGAAAAGCCUCUAAGCAUCAGGUAACAUCAAAUCGUACCCCAAACCGACACAGGUGGUCAGGUAGAGAAUACCAAGGCGCUUGAGAGAACUCGGGUGAAGGAACUAGGCAAAAUGGUGCCGUAACUUCGGGAGAAGGCACGCUGAUAUGUAGGUGAAGCGACUUGCUCGUGGAGCUGAAAUCAGUCGAAGAUACCAGCUGGCUGCAACUGUUUAUUAAAAACACAGCACUGUGCAAACACGAAAGUGGACGUAUACGGUGUGACGCCUGCCCGGUGCCGGAAGGUUAAUUGAUGGGGUCAGCGCAAGCGAAGCUCUUGAUCGAAGCCCCGGUAAACGGCGGCCGUAACUAUAACGGUCCUAAGGUAGCGAAAUUCCUUGUCGGGUAAGUUCCGACCUGCACGAAUGGCGUAAUGAUGGCCAGGCUGUCUCCACCCGAGACUCAGUGAAAUUGAACUCGCUGUGAAGAUGCAGUGUACCCGCGGCAAGACGGAAAGACCCCGUGAACCUUUACUAUAGCUUGACACUGAACAUUGAGCCUUGAUGUGUAGGAUAGGUGGGAGGCUUUGAAGUGUGGACGCCAGUCUGCAUGGAGCCGACCUUGAAAUACCACCCUUUAAUGUUUGAUGUUCUAACGUUGACCCGUAAUCCGGGUUGCGGACAGUGUCUGGUGGGUAGUUUGACUGGGGCGGUCUCCUCCUAAAGAGUAACGGAGGAGCACGAAGGUUGGCUAAUCCUGGUCGGACAUCAGGAGGUUAGUGCAAUGGCAUAAGCCAGCUUGACUGCGAGCGUGACGGCGCGAGCAGGUGCGAAAGCAGGUCAUAGUGAUCCGGUGGUUCUGAAUGGAAGGGCCAUCGCUCAACGGAUAAAAGGUACUCCGGGGAUAACAGGCUGAUACCGCCCAAGAGUUCAUAUCGACGGCGGUGUUUGGCACCUCGAUGUCGGCUCAUCACAUCCUGGGGCUGAAGUAGGUCCCAAGGGUAUGGCUGUUCGCCAUUUAAAGUGGUACGCGAGCUGGGUUUAGAACGUCGUGAGACAGUUCGGUCCCUAUCUGCCGUGGGCGCUGGAGAACUGAGGGGGGCUGCUCCUAGUACGAGAGGACCGGAGUGGACGCAUCACUGGUGUUCGGGUUGUCAUGCCAAUGGCACUGCCCGGUAGCUAAAUGCGGAAGAGAUAAGUGCUGAAAGCAUCUAAGCACGAAACUUGCCCCGAGAUGAGUUCUCCCUGACUCCUUGAGAGUCCUGAAGGAACGUUGAAGACGACGACGUUGAUAGGCCGGGUGUGUAAGCGCAGCGAUGCGUUGAGCUAACCGGUACUAAUGAACCGUGAGGCUUAACCUU